This 106-nucleotide ribosomal RNA is filed under the name Steinernema sp. K8 EEL-2011. Its description in RNAcentral is "partial 28S ribosomal RNA". It matches the Rfam family "Eukaryotic large subunit ribosomal RNA", at positions 1 to 105 of the family's 3401-position model. Lineage: Eukaryota; Metazoa; Nematoda; Chromadorea; Rhabditida; Steinernematidae. The record is from RNAcentral.
UUCGAAUUACGACCUCAACUCAAGCAAGACUACCCGCUGAACUUAAGCAUAUCAGUAAGCGGAGGAAAAGAAACUAAAGCGGAGGAAAAGAAACUAAAGCGGAGGA